UUGAACGCUGGCGGCAGGCCUAACACAUGCAAGUCGAGCGGAUGAAGGGAGCUUGCUCCUGGAUUCAGCGGCGGACGGGUGAGUAAUGCCUAGGAAUCUGCCUGGUAGUGGGGGAUAACGUCCGGAAACGGGCGCUAAUACCCCAUACGUCCUGAGGGAGAAAGUGGGGGAUCUUCGGACCUCACGCUAUCAGAUGAGCCUAGGUCGGAUUAGCUAGUUGGUGGGGUAAAGGCCUACCAAGGCGACGAUCCGUAACUGGUCUGAGAGGAUGAUCAGUCACACUGGAACUGAGACACGGUCCAGACUCCUACGGGAGGCAGCAGUGGGGAAUAUUGGACAAUGGGCGAAAGCCUGAUCCAGCCAUGCCGCGUGUGUGAAGAAGGUCUUCGGAUUGUAAAGCACUUUAAGUUGGGAGGAAGGGCAGUAAGUUAAUACCUUGCUGUUUUGACGUUACCAACAGAAUAAGCACCGGCUAACUUCGUG
Molecule: ribosomal RNA, 483 nt
Filed under: uncultured bacterium
Lineage: Bacteria
Description: partial 16S ribosomal RNA
Rfam family: Bacterial small subunit ribosomal RNA
Source: RNAcentral